This 261-nucleotide long non-coding RNA is filed under the name Ictidomys tridecemlineatus (thirteen-lined ground squirrel). RNAcentral describes it as "lncRNA (ENSSTOG00000034150.1)". The record is from RNAcentral. Lineage: Eukaryota; Metazoa; Chordata; Mammalia; Rodentia; Sciuridae.
CUGAGAACUUUGUGAAGUCGUGAAACAAGAAUUUCAAAGGAAUUUGCUGGCAAGCUGCUAAGUUCUGUUACACUGGAGACCAUGCUGUACCAUCGAGAGCAACUCCACAUUUCUGCCAGCAACUUUACUUAGGCCCUACCUUAGACCAGACUGAGGAAUCAAGUUUUGUUCUCAGGGAGAAGAGAGCCAAAUGAACAAUACUCCUCACGGCAUUAUUUUUAUAAUCGAGGUGGCAGUCUGGAGAAGCAUCCUUAGAUGUGU